AACGAACGCUGGCGGCAGGCUUAACACAUGCAAGUCGAGCGCCCCGCGAAGGGGAGCGGACGAGACGGGUGGGUAACGCGUGGGAAUCUACCUUUUGCUACGGAAUAACUCAGGGAAACUUGUGCUAAUACCGUAUGUGCCCUUCGGGGGAAAGAUUUAUCGGCAAAGGACGAGCCCGCGUUGGAUUAGCUAGUUGGUGGGGUAAAGGCCUACCAAGGCGACGAUCCAUAGCUGGUCUGAGAGGAUGAUCAGCCACACCGGGACUGAGACACGGCCCGG
This 279-nucleotide ribosomal RNA is filed under the name uncultured bacterium. Its description in RNAcentral is "partial 16S ribosomal RNA". It matches the Rfam family "Bacterial small subunit ribosomal RNA", at positions 29 to 334 of the family's 1533-position model. The record is from RNAcentral.